GAACUCUAUUAAAGGUGAAUGUCUAUAUUUAGAGAGAUUCUAGGGUUUACUACUUGGUGGCUAAGUCACCACCUCCCUAUAAAUAUAGGGGUUCUAUUCUAUUGUAAACCNNNNNNNNACUACUUGGUGGCUAAGUCACCACCUCCCUAUAAAUAUAGGGGUUCUAUACCAUUGUAAACCAUCCCAAAGUAUCAAUAAGAAUACUCCUCUCUCUACUUUUCUCUAUAUUGUUCUUGUUCUUGUAUUAUUGUUCUUGUUCUUAUAUUAUU
RNAcentral lists this long non-coding RNA (269 nucleotides) under Nicotiana benthamiana. Its description in RNAcentral is "long non-coding RNA (NBEN_LNC034201)". Lineage: Eukaryota; Viridiplantae; Streptophyta; Magnoliopsida; Solanales; Solanaceae. The record is from RNAcentral.